GAUGAACGCUGGCGGCGUGCCUAAUACAUGCAAGUCGAGCGAACGGACGAGAAGCUUGCUUCUCUGAUGUUAGCGGCGGACGGGUGAGUAACACGUGGAUAACCUACCUAUAAGACUGGGAUAACUUCGGGAAACCGGAGCUAAUACCGGAUGAUAUUUUGAACCGCAUGGUUCAAAAGUGAAAGACUGUCUUGCUGUCACUUAUAGAUGGAUCCGCGCUGCAUUAGCUAGUUGGUAAGGUAACGGCUUACCAAGGCAACGAUGCAUAGCCGACCUGAGAGGGUGAUCGGCCACACUGGAACUGAGACACGGUCCAGACUCCUACGGGAGGCAGCAGUAGGGAAUCUUCCGCAAUGGGCGAAAGCCUGACGGAGCAACGCCGCGUGAGUGAUGAAGGUCUUCGGAUCGUAAAACUCUGUUAUUAGGGAAGAACAUAUGUGUAAGUAACUGUGCACAUCUUGACGGUACCUAAUCAGAAAGCCACGGCUAACUACGUG
Molecule: ribosomal RNA, 497 nt
Filed under: uncultured bacterium
Lineage: Bacteria
Description: partial 16S ribosomal RNA
Rfam family: Bacterial small subunit ribosomal RNA
Source: RNAcentral